GGGCGAGUAACGCGUGAUCAACCUGCCCUUGGGAGGGGGAUAGCUAUCCGAAAGGAUAGGUAAUACUCCAUAAGACUACGGCAUCGCAUGGUGCUGCGGUCAAAGAGUUGGGAUCUUCGGACCUUCUGCCCGAGGAUGGGAUCGCGUCCUAUUAGCUUGUUGGUGGGGUAACGGCCUACCAAGGCGAUGAUGGGUAGCCGGCCUGAGAGGGUGGUCGGCCACACUGGGACUGAGACACGGCCCAGACUCCUACGGGAGGCAGCAGUGCUGAAUCAUUCGCCAAUGCGCGAAAGCGUGACGGUGCGACGCCGCGUGCGGGAUGAAGGCCUUCGGGUUGUAAACCGCUGUCAGGGUCUAGGAAACCGCCGACGUGAAUAGCGGCGGCGCUGACCAGGCCCAAAGGAAGUGCAGGCUAACCUCGUGCCAGCAGCCGCGGUAAGACGAGGUGCACAAGCGUUGUUCGGAAUCACUGGGCAUAAAGAGUGCGUAGGCGGUCUGGUAGGUCGGGUGUGAAAGCCCUCGGCUCAACCGGGGAAUUGCUUCCGAUACUGCCAGACUUGAGAGCGAAAGGGGCAAGCGGAAUUCCAGGUGUAGCGGUGGAAUGCGUAGAUAUCUGGGAGAACGCCGAAGGCGAAGGCAGCUUGCUGGGUCGCAUCUGACGCUGAGGCACGAAAGCUAGGGGAGCGAACAGGAUUAGAUACCCUGGUAGUCCUAGCUGUUAACGAUGGGCACUUUGCUUUGGGGGACCUGAUUCCCUCAGGGCCGGAGCUAACGCGUUAAGUGCCCCGCCUGGGGAGUAUGGUCGCAAGGCUAAAACUCAAAGGAAUUGACGGGGGCUCACACAAGCGGUGGAGCAUGUUGUUCAAUUCGAAGCAACGCGAAGAACCUUACCUGGGCUUGACAUGCUAGUGGUACAAACCCGAAAGGGGGCGGACCUCUUAACCGAGGAGCUAGCACAGGUGCUGCAUGGCUGUCGUCAGCUCGUGUCGUGAGACGUUGGGUUAAGUCCCGUAAUCGAACGAAUCCCUUGUCGAUUCGUUGCUACCGGGUCAUGCCGGACUCUCUGGCGAGACGACUGGUGUUAAGCCGGAGGAAGGUGGGGAAGAUGUCAAGUCAUCAUGGUCUUUACGUCCAGGGGUACAAUCGUGUUACAAUGGCAGGU
This 1162-nucleotide ribosomal RNA is filed under the name uncultured organism. RNAcentral describes it as "bacterial SSU rRNA". It matches the Rfam family "Bacterial small subunit ribosomal RNA", at positions 104 to 1238 of the family's 1533-position model. The record is from RNAcentral.